CCAAUAGCGUAUAUUAAAGUUGUUGCAGUUAAAAAGCUCGUAGUUGAAUUUCGGGAUCAAUGUUUCGGUCAUGCCGUUGGUAUGUACUGAUAUUAUUGGUUUCUCACCUUCUAAAGAACCGUAAUGCCAUUAAUUUGGUGUCACGGGGAAUUAGGACUGUUACCUUGAAAAAAUUAGAGUGUUUAAAGCAGGCUCACGCUUGAAUACAUUAGCAUGGAAUAAUGAAAUAGGACAUCCGAUUCUAUUUUGUUGGUUUCUAGGAUCGAUGUAAUGAUUAAUAUGGAUAGUUGGGGGCAUUAGUAUUCAAUUGUCAGAGGUGAAAUUCUUGGAUUUAUUGAAGACUAACUACUGCGAAAGCAUUUGCCAAGGAUGUUUUCAUUAAUCAAGAACGAAAGUUAGGGGAUCGAAGACGAUCAGAUACCGUCGUAGUCUUAACCAUAAACUAUGCCGACUAGGGAUCGGAUGAUGUUAAUUUUUUAAUGACUCAUUCGGCGCCUUACG
RNAcentral lists this ribosomal RNA (501 nucleotides) under uncultured Glomeromycotina. RNAcentral's name for it is "partial small subunit ribosomal RNA". It matches the Rfam family "Eukaryotic small subunit ribosomal RNA", at positions 591 to 1092 of the family's 1831-position model. Lineage: Eukaryota; Fungi; Glomeromycota. The record is from RNAcentral.